UAUUUAAGUAAAGUGAAUGGUACAGAGAGCAAAACACAAUAAGAUCUUCUUCCUCUUCUCUUCCUAUUUUCCUUACUGCAAAUAAACUUCCAUGAAACAUAGCUUAUAAAAUCUAUUCCUUUUUCAAAAUCGAUGGCAACAACAAAAAUUAUUCAACCAUAUAAGCUACAACAUCAUGAUAUUAAGUAUCAUAGAAAAAGGUUACCGAAAUGGAGCGAUGCGCAGAAGCUCGAUGCGCUCGCGACGGUGAUGGAAUCGCAUCGCGGGGUUGGCCGGUUAUGAACGGCGGGAUGGGGUGUGCGGGAUGUUUCACGGCGGUCGGUGAUGUGGUGGUUGCGUGAACUUUCCUUCUCCUUCUUUUUUCCUGCACAACGAAGACAGUAACACAAUAGCUUUUUAACAGUUUUGUAUUGAUUGUGUUGUUAGUGUCAAUGGUGAAUUACGGUGAUGGAAUGGUGUAAUAAGGCUGCCGUGACUUUGGUUUACCAUGUGGGAGAUGGAAAAGGGGUUAAUUGUUGGUGUAUGUACAGUGCCUCUUUUUGUUGUUGUUGAUUGUAACAGGUUAUGAAAUUGGUUUUGUAGAUGAAGGUUAGAGAUAUGUACGUGUGAGAGAGGUUAAUGUGAGAGUGGUAGUGCAGGUUAGGAUUGUUCGCUCCUUUUUUUGGGUUUAUUUCCUCUGUUUUUAUAGCCUCACAACAAUGUUACAAAUGGUAUUGAACAACAGAUUAAUUGAAAUUA
This is a long non-coding RNA of Vicia villosa (hairy vetch), 738 nucleotides long. RefSeq lists it as uncharacterized. NCBI's taxonomy places the organism in Eukaryota, Viridiplantae, Streptophyta, Magnoliopsida, Fabales, Fabaceae. The record is from RefSeq and is a predicted model, not a curated record. The transcript has 2 exons.